UUUCUUCCUGGCAAAGAUACCUUCUAUACUGUGGGUUUAGCUGCUACUUGUUGGGCCAUCUGGCUGGCGCUUAAUCGUGCUACCUUUGCGAAAAAACAGAUUAAGACUCCUUUUGAGAUUGUUUUCUCCCUUUGUUCGUUUCUUUUGUACUGGACAGGUUUACAGAAAGGAGAGGCGGCUGGAGAACUUCGCGCAGGUGCAGAGAUGAUCAGGAACGGCACGCUGCAGCUGAUGAAACUGUGUGACUCCGUCAAGCAAUCGAUCUAG
RNAcentral lists this ribosomal RNA (267 nucleotides) under Triticum aestivum (bread wheat). RNAcentral describes it as "partial small subunit ribosomal RNA". The record is from RNAcentral. Lineage: Eukaryota; Viridiplantae; Streptophyta; Magnoliopsida; Poales; Poaceae.